AUUGCUUUGGCAGAAUAGUGUGAUAGAUUUAGAAUCUUUUUAUGUAGUUUUAUAGAACUAUAAGUAAUA
This 69-nucleotide transfer RNA is filed under the name Xylosandrus crassiusculus. Its description in RNAcentral is "tRNA-Leu". It matches the Rfam family "tRNA". Rfam says of the family: Transfer RNA (tRNA) molecules are approximately 80 nucleotides in length. Their secondary structure includes four short double-helical elements and three loops (D, anti-codon, and T loops). The record is from RNAcentral. Lineage: Eukaryota; Metazoa; Arthropoda; Insecta; Coleoptera; Curculionidae.